This 497-nucleotide ribosomal RNA is filed under the name uncultured bacterium. Its description in RNAcentral is "partial 16S ribosomal RNA". It matches the Rfam family "Bacterial small subunit ribosomal RNA", at positions 28 to 507 of the family's 1533-position model. The record is from RNAcentral.
GAUGAACGCUGGCGGCGUGCCUAAUACAUGCAAGUCGAGCGGACGGACGAGAAGCUUGCUUCUCUGAUGUUAGCGGCGGACGGGUGAGUAACACGUGUAUAACCUACCUAUAAGACUGGGAUAACUUCGGGAAACCGGAGCUAAUACCGUAUAAUAUUUUGAACCGCAUGGUUCAAAGGUGAAAGACGGUCUUGCUGUCACUUAUAGAUGGAUCCGCGCUGCAUUAGCUAGUUGUUAAGGUAACGGCUUACCAAGGCAACGAUGCAUAGCCGACCGGAGAGGGUGAUAGGCCACCUUGGAAGUGAGACACGGACAAGACUCCUACGGGAGGGAGCAGUAGGGAAUCUUACGCAAUGGGCGAAAGCCUGACGGAGCAACGCCGAGUGAGUGACGAAGGUCUUCGGAGCGUAAAACUCUGUUAUUAGGGAAGAACAUAUGUGUAAGUAACUGUGCACAGCGUGACGGUAACUAAUAAGAAAGCCACGGCUAACUACGUG